RNAcentral lists this ribosomal RNA (257 nucleotides) under uncultured bacterium. RNAcentral's name for it is "partial 16S ribosomal RNA". It matches the Rfam family "Bacterial small subunit ribosomal RNA", at positions 524 to 776 of the family's 1533-position model. The record is from RNAcentral.
UACGUAGGUGGCAAGCGUUACUCGGAAUCACUAGGCGUAAAGCGCAGGUAGGCGGUUCGGUAAGUCUUUUGUGAAAGCUCCCGGCUCAACUGGGAGAGGUCAAAGGAAACUACCGGGCUAGAGUGUGGUAGGGGAAACUGGAAUUCCUGGUGUAGCGGUGAAAUGCGUAGAUAUCAUUUGGAACGCCAAUGGUGAAAACAGGUAACUGGGGCUGUGCUGACGCUGGAGACACGGAAAGCCCAGGGGGAGCGAACGGG